Molecule: non-coding RNA, 72 nt
Organism: Datura stramonium (jimsonweed)
Lineage: Eukaryota; Viridiplantae; Streptophyta; Magnoliopsida; Solanales; Solanaceae
Source: the annotation of a GenBank genome assembly
GUCGUUGUAGUAUAGUGGUAAGUAUUUUCGCCUGUCACGCGGGUACCUCGGAUUUGAUUCCCUGCAACGACA